This 523-nucleotide ribosomal RNA is filed under the name uncultured Chitinophagaceae bacterium. RNAcentral's name for it is "bacterial SSU rRNA". It matches the Rfam family "Bacterial small subunit ribosomal RNA", at positions 8 to 526 of the family's 1533-position model. The record is from RNAcentral. Lineage: Bacteria; Pseudomonadati; Bacteroidota; Chitinophagia; Chitinophagales; Chitinophagaceae.
AGAGUUUGAUCCUGGCUCAGGAUGAACGCUAGCGGCAGGCUUAACACAUGCAAGUCGAGGGGCAGCACAGGUAGCAAUACUGGGUGGCGACCGGCAAACGGGUGCGGAACACGUACGCAAUUUACCUUUGUCUGGGAGAUAGCCCGGAGAAAUCCGGAUUAAUACCCCAUAAUAUAUUUAAGUGGCAUCAUUUGAAUAUUAAAGCUCAGGCGGACAGAGAUGAGCGUGCGUCCCAUUAGCUAGUUGGUAAGGUAAAGGCUUACCAAGGCGACGAUGGGUAGCUGGUGUGAGAGCACGACCAGCCACACGGGCACUGAGACACGGGCCCGACUCCUACGGGAGGCAGCAGUGAGGAAUAUUGGUCAAUGGGCGCAAGCCUGAACCAGCCAUGCCGCGUGGAGGAUGAAGGCCUUCUGGGUUGUAAACUUCUUUUAUUGGGGAAGAAACCUCUGAUUUCUAUCGGAGCCGACGGUACCCAAGGAAUAAGCACCGGCUAACUCCGUGCCAGCAGCCGCGGUAAUUC